This 2254-nucleotide long non-coding RNA is filed under the name Varroa destructor (honeybee mite). Its description in RNAcentral is "uncharacterized LOC111252924, transcript variant X2". The record is from RNAcentral. Lineage: Eukaryota; Metazoa; Arthropoda; Arachnida; Mesostigmata; Varroidae.
UCCAGGAGUAAUUCAUUAUCUUUCUGUUAUUUACAGUAUACUAUGAUUCACGUAUGGAUAAGACGCCGUGCAACAAAUAUACAAUCGCAUUUAUGUGACGGUGUAGUAAAAGUAGGCAAUUUUGAAGGUCUGUUUUGAAGUCUUUUCCUUGGAUUUAUGCAUACAUAUCAUUACAGCUGUACUGGGUACUGAGCUCCUUCGAUAUGUGUUCAAGGAUAACGACACCGAGCGAAGCAGUUCGUUUUUUUUUCCUUUCAACUUCACCAUCAGUCGCUCUUUAAUGAGGAAACCAUUGCACAGAGCUUGUUGUAUCAUUGCGUAAUCCGUCACAGAGAGCAAAACCGUCUCACUUUAGUACACAAUGGCAAAAUUUUUUCAGCUUUCACUGGCUAGCGUAUAGUAAACGGUGAGCAAAGCUUCCUAAAUAAGCAUUUAAGCAGUUUCUAUCAAAGCAGCUUUGUCAUAGCUACAAAUUUCAAGCUAUGGAUAAUUCACUAGGCACUUGCAAUGCUUAAGUGCUGUCUACCAAAUUUUAAGUCAUUCCUAUAACCAUGCGAUGGAGAUGGACGCGUUGGCAUCAGCGUUGCUAGACGCGUAUCAGUCCUGGCCCAACAACACACACAUCAAGGUGAACUGAUGUAAAUAUCGUCUUGUAGUACUACCAAGCGUUGAAGAUUCUGCGUUCGCGAGAUCUGUUAACGAGGAAGAAACUAUCUCAAUAAAGGGGAACAACGGUAACGAUUUUUUAUGUCGUCGAUAGUGGGCAAUUAAAUGUGUAAAAGGCGACGCACUUAUCAAUGCGCAUGGUGUUGAGGUUACCUUCGGGGAAGUCUCAUCGUUUGAUCUUACUAAUUGCCCUAUAUUACUACUCGAGCUCAAAUCAAUGCCGACGACAGUAUAGAUAAUUGUAAGGAGCUGCUUCUACGGAUAUGUAAACGGAAGCUGCAGUUUGAAAAGUGCAGAAUGGUCCUUUUGCUAGAAAAAACUUCGGCAAGAACGCGUCCCAAAUACGUCUUGCGUAUGUAAGUAGGGAUACGGCCAAAACUAGGAUGAGAAUAGAGGCGGGAUUACAACGUCUGCGCCGCUGGCGUAGCGAUGGAUCAUUCAGGCAGGUGGAGUUAGAUUCUCGUGGCGCCUUCGGUUGUAAACCGCUCCCAGUUCAAAUCGUGCAGAGAUAACUGAGGCAAGUUAUUGCAGCUUAAUUGUCUAACUUACCGUCGACACCUGGCUCGACUUAAGUACCUGAUAACUCACUAGCUUGAAAGACAGAUCAGAAGUGUUCGGAUCCGUAUAACUCUGUCGGAAGAGGCGAUGAAACUUGCCGAUGGAAUUCAGUGACGGUCAUACUGUAUCUAAUUAGGCUGACGUCAGGGACGGUUGUCGUUCCGUUAAAACAGGACGGGUCGGAGUUAUGGUCAAGGAAAACGGUGAUUACUGGGCGCAUUGUUGCCUCCUUUCGAGGAUUGUACUUUGCCAACCUUGCAACGAUCACAAAAAAUAACCUAGCAGUUAUUAUUGUCGCCGAUGACCUAACGAUCCGCGUAUCUGCAGAGUUGAGACUCUCGAAAAUAUACUGGACAGAUGCGUAGACAUCAUAAAGGAUAACAUAGAUAACAUUUCCGCGUAGAAAGCUCAAAUUUUCGACUCAAAAGGACGCAGCUGAAGGAUGAUGAUGACCUUCGCUAAGUGUCGUGCUACGCUGAAGACUCAACAAAACCCGACUGACUUCGAGAAUUAACAUUUGUCUCAGGAUAGGAAUUAUGAAGUUAACAGACAUGUGUUCCUCUGAAGACACGCGACCCAUAACAGCAAUAUUUAAGUUCACAAUGUUCUCUUUUCUACCUUUCUACUAUGUCUUGAAGCUCGCUUCAGGCGACAGAAUUCGGUGUGAAGUACGUACAGCAUGUUGACGGCAAGUUUAAGAAAUCGAUGCCUUUAUAAUUAAUAGAUUAUGCUAGACUACAGAGUAAAUGGACUGCGCUAAAGGCAGAAACGAUUAGAAUUAACGCAGGCAUUUGCGAUUAACAACGCCAUGCAAAAUAGGGUUACGAAAUAGAAGAAUGCUGCGAGCUGUUCUUCAUAUCACUGCCUCCCUUCUCCUGCUGAAGAUAUAGAAGUAGCAGAGCUCUAGGGAGUACGGUGUUAAGUAGAACCGUACCAAAUGACAUACACAAAUAAGCAUUACGUUUAUGUAUUUAAUUCCGCUACCGCAGUAGAAUAGAUACUGACAUAUUUUGUUCAUACACGUGAUACA